This 410-nucleotide ribosomal RNA is filed under the name uncultured Methylomirabilota bacterium. RNAcentral's name for it is "bacterial SSU rRNA". It matches the Rfam family "Bacterial small subunit ribosomal RNA", at positions 1025 to 1434 of the family's 1533-position model. The record is from RNAcentral. Lineage: Bacteria; Methylomirabilota (SeqCode).
AGCGUGGAGACAGGUGGUGCAUGGCUGUCGUCAGCUCGUGUCGUGAGAUGUUGGGUUAAGUCCCGCAACGAGCGCAACCCUCACCCCUUGUUGCUACCAGGUAAAGCUGGGCACUCUAGGGGAACUGCCCCGGUCAACGGGGAGGAAGGCGGGGAUGACGUCAAGUCAUCAUGCCCCUUACGUCCUGGGCUACACACGUGCUACAAUGGCCGGUACAAAGGGAUGCCACACCGUGAGGUAGAGCUAAACCCAAAAAGCCGGUCUAAGUUCAGAUUGGAGUCUGCAACUCGACUCCAUGAAGGAGGAAUCGCUAGUAAUCGCGUAUCAGCACGACGCGGUGAAUACGUUCCCGGGCCUUGUACACACCGCCCGUCACACCACGAAAGCCAGCUGUACUCGAAGUCGCUGAG